AGAGCCAACGGUGGAUGCCUUGGCACAUGGCACCGAUGAAGGACGUGUAUGGCUGCGAUAAGCCACGGGGAGCUGCCGAAAGAGCGUUGAUCCGUGGAUGUCCGAAUGGGGAAACCCACCACCCGUCAUGGGGUGGUACUCCGGUCUGAACACAUAGGACCGGUAGAGGGAACUCUGGGAACUGAAACAUCUCAGUACCAGGUAGGAAAGGAAAGCAACAGCGACACCCGUAGUAGCGGCGAGCGAACUGGGUUCAGCCUAAACCGAGCUGGUGGUAAAGCCUGAUGGCGUUGCCAGUUCGGGGUUGUGGGGCCGAUAGCUCCAGCAUCAGAUGGAGCACGGAGUUACAAAGCUGCCGGGUAGUGGAAGCGCACUGGAACGACGCGCCGUAGCGGGUAAGAGCCCCGUACACGAAACCUGAGCAGCCUCCGAUCGUCACCCCGAGUAGCGCCGGAACCGUGAAAGUCGGCGUGAAUCUGCGAGGACCACCUCGUAAGGCUAAGUAUGACCAUGUGACCGAUAGUGCACGAGUACCGUGAGGGAAGGGUGAAAAGUACCCCGUGAGGGGAGUGAAAUAGAUCCUGAAACCGUUGGUUUACAAGCAGUCAGAGAGUCGCCGGCACUUGUGUCGGUCUCGAUGGCGUGCCUUUUGAAGAAUGAGCCUACGAGUUACGGUGUGUGGCGAGGUUAACCCGUCGAGGGGAAGCCGGAGCGAAAGCGAGUCUGAACAGGGCGUUCAGUCGCAUGCUGUAGACCCGAAGCCGAGUGAUCUAUCCAUGGGCAGGUGGAAGCCGGGGUAAGACCCGGUGGACGACCGAACCCACUUAGGUUGAAAACUGAGGGGAUGACCUGUGGAUAGGGGUGAAAGGCCAAGCAAACUCGGUGAUAGCUGGUUCUCCCCGAAAUGCAUUUAGGUGCAGCGUCGCGUGUUCAGUCAUGGAGGUAGAGCACUGAAUGGGCUAGGGGCCCUACAAGGUUACCGAACCCAAUCAAACUCCGAAUGCCAUGACUCCAGAGCGCGGCAGUGAGACUAUGGGGGAUGAGCUUCAUGGUCGAGAGGGAAACAACCCAGAACGCCGGCUAAGGCCCCCAAGUGUGUACUAAGUGGAAAACGAUGUGAGAUUGCGAAGACAGCCAGGAGGUUGGCUUAGAAGCAGCCACCCUUGAAAGAGUGCGUAAUAGCUCACUGGUCGAGUGGUCUUGCGCGGACAAUGUAACGGGGCUCAAGUACACCGCCGAAGCCGCGUCAUCUUUAUGAUGGGUAGGGGAGCGUCGAUCUCGCAGCGAAGCAGGCUGGGAACGGUCUGUGGAGCGUGGUCGAGUGCGAAUGUAGGUAUGAGUAGCGAAAGAGGGGUGAGAAACCCCUCCGCCGAAUAUCCAAGGGUUCCUGGGCAAGGCUAAUCCUCCCAGGGUAAGUCGGGAGCUAAGGCGAGGCCGCAAGGCGUAGUCGAUGCACAACCGGUUGAUAUUCCGGUACCACCGUGUCCGCGCCCAGCCCAACGUCGCUGAUCUCGAGGCUGUCUUCGGACGAAUCGGGUGACGCUUCUGCGGGUAGCAGAUGAGGGACGCAGGAAGGUAAGUGAACCCAGGCGAUGGUUGACCUGGGGUAAGCGUGUAGGGCGAACCCGAUGAGAGUUGGGUUCAUCAGCCUGAGACGUGACACCGAGCCGUACAGGCGAAGUCACCGAUCCUAUGCUGCCAAGAAAAUCUCAGCUGUGAGCUGGCACGGUGCCCGUACCCCAAACCAACUCAGGUGGAUAGGUAGAGAAUACCAAGGCGAUCGGGAGAACUGUGGUUAAGGAACUCGGCAAAUUGCCUCCGUAACUUCGGGAGAAGGAGGGCCCCGGUAGGGUGAAGGACUUCGCGUCCGGAGCUCGAAAGGGCCGCAGUGACCAGGGGAAAGCGACUGUUUACUAAAAACACAGCAGCGUGCGAAGCCGCAAGGCGCUGUAUACGCUGUGACGCCUGCCCGGUGCCGGAAGGUUAAUUGGAAGGGUUAGUCCUUCGGGACGAAGCUCUGAAAUGAAGCCCCAGUAAACGGCGGCCGUAACUAUAACGGUCCUAAGGUAGCGAAAUUCCUUGUCGGGUAAGUUCCGACCUGCACGAAUGGCGUAACGACUUUCCCACUGUCUCAACCACAGACCCGGCGAAAUUGAAGUACGAGUAAAGAUGCUCGUUAGCUGCAGCAGGACGGAAAGACCCCGUGGACCUUUACUAUAGCUUGAUAUUGGGUUUGGAUUCACGUUGUGUAGGAUAGGUGGGAGACUUGGAAGCAUUGGCGCCAGCCAGUGUGGAGUCAUCGUUGAAAUACCACCCUGCGUGUGUCUGAGCUCUAACCCACGUCCCUUAUCGGGAUGGGGAACAGUGUCAGGUGGGUAGUUUGACUGGGGCGGUCGCCUCCCAAAUGGUAACGGAGGCGCCCAAAGGUUCUCUCAGGCUGGUUGGCAAUCAGCCGUCGAGUGCAAUGGCACAAGAGAGCUUGACUGUGAGACUGACAAGUCGAACAGGGACGAAAGUCGGGCAUAGUGACCCGGCGGUGGCGUGUGGAAGCGCCGUCGAUCAACGGAUAAAAGGUACCCCGGGGAUAACAGGCUUAUCUUCCCCAAGAGUCCAUAUCGACGGGAAGGUUUGGCACCUCGAUGUCGGCUCAUCGCAUCCUGGGGCUGAAGCAG
RNAcentral lists this ribosomal RNA (2672 nucleotides) under hot springs metagenome. Its description in RNAcentral is "bacterial LSU rRNA". It matches the Rfam family "Bacterial large subunit ribosomal RNA", at positions 14 to 2561 of the family's 2925-position model. The record is from RNAcentral.